Molecule: ribosomal RNA, 345 nt
Filed under: uncultured bacterium
Lineage: Bacteria
Description: bacterial SSU rRNA
Rfam family: Bacterial small subunit ribosomal RNA
Source: RNAcentral
UAGUGGCGGACGGGUGAGUAACGCGUGGGAACGUGCCCUUUGGUUCGGAAUAGCCUCGGGAAACUGGGAGUAAUACCGUAUGUGGUCGAGAGAGGAAAGAUUUAUCGCCAAAGGAUCGGCCCGCGUUGGAUUAGGUAGUUGGUGGGGUAAUGGCCUACCAAGCCGACGAUCCAUAGCUGGUUUGAGAGGAUGAUCAGCCACACUGGGACUGAGACACGGCCCAGACUCCUACGGGAGGCAGCAGUGGGGAAUCUUAGACAAUGGGGGAAACCCUGAUCUAGCCAUGCCGCGUGAUCGAUGAAGGCCUUAGGGUUGUAAAGAUCUUUCAGGUGGGAAGAUAAUGAC